GACAGAGGUCCCGAGCGUUAGGCGGAAUCACUGGGCUUAAAGCGUGUGUAGGCGGAUCGUUAAGUACCUUGUGAAAUCCCACGGCUUAACCGUGGAACUGCUUGGUAUACUGGCGAUCUUGAGCCACCUAGGGGCAACCGGAACAAAUGGUGGAGCGGUGAAAUGCGUAGAUAUCAUUUGGAACGCCAAUGGUGAAAACAGGUUGCUGGGGGUGUGCUGACGCUGAGACACGAAAGCCAGGGGAGCGAACGGG
Molecule: ribosomal RNA, 253 nt
Filed under: uncultured bacterium
Lineage: Bacteria
Description: partial 16S ribosomal RNA
Rfam family: Bacterial small subunit ribosomal RNA
Source: RNAcentral